RNAcentral lists this long non-coding RNA (203 nucleotides) under Lathyrus oleraceus (garden pea). RNAcentral's name for it is "Pisum sativum (pea) long non-coding RNA (PSAT_LNC015582)". The record is from RNAcentral. Lineage: Eukaryota; Viridiplantae; Streptophyta; Magnoliopsida; Fabales; Fabaceae.
UAUGAUCAUAUGUGGAGUUAACCUAAGUCCAGACAGAUUGGCAGUUAACUUCCCUUUCUCAUCUUUGUUUUUCUUUUGAGGAGAUUGGUGUAAGUCCAUUGAGUGGCUUCUGAUAUCCUGUUCUGUUUUAGGAGACUGGUGUAAAUCCAUUUAUUGGUAUCCGGUAUCCACCUUUUAUUUCUUUGUUUGAGGAGAUUAGUGUA